UUGGAGGGCAAGUCUGGUGCCAGCAGCCGCGGUAAUUCCAGCUCCAAUAGCGUAUAUUAAAGUUGUUGCAGUUAAAAAGCUCGUAGUUGAAUUUCGGGAUUAGUACGUCGGUCGUGCCUUAGGUACGUACUGGUGUUACUGGUUCCUACCUUCUGACGAACCAUCAUGUCAUUAAUUUGGUGUGGUGGGGAAUCAGGACUGUUACUUUGAAAAAAUUGAGUGUUUAAAGCAGGCUCGCGCUUGAAUACAUUAGCAUGGAAUAAUGAAAAUAGGUACG
This 277-nucleotide ribosomal RNA is filed under the name uncultured Glomus. RNAcentral describes it as "partial 18S ribosomal RNA". It matches the Rfam family "Eukaryotic small subunit ribosomal RNA", at positions 548 to 831 of the family's 1831-position model. The record is from RNAcentral. Lineage: Eukaryota; Fungi; Glomeromycota; Glomeromycetes; Glomerales; Glomeraceae.